RNAcentral lists this ribosomal RNA (409 nucleotides) under Verrucomicrobiota bacterium. Its description in RNAcentral is "Verrucomicrobia bacterium partial 16S ribosomal RNA". It matches the Rfam family "Bacterial small subunit ribosomal RNA", at positions 355 to 776 of the family's 1533-position model. Lineage: Bacteria; Pseudomonadati; Verrucomicrobiota. The record is from RNAcentral.
UGGGGAAUAUUGCACAAUGGGCGGAAGCCUGAUGCAGCGACGCCGCGUGAGGGAUGACUGCCUUCGGGUUGUAAACCUCUUUCAGUAGGGACGAAGCGUAAGUGACGGUACCUGCAGAAGAAGCACCGGCUAACUACGUGCCAGCAGCCGCGGUAAUACGUAGGGUGCGAGCGUUGUCCGGAAUUACUGGGCGUAAAGAGCUCGUAGGCGGUUUGUCACGUCGUCUGUGAAAUCCUAGGGCUUAACCCUAGACGUGCAGGCGAUACGGGCUGACUUGAGUACUACAGGGGAGACUGGAAUUUCUGGUGUAGCGAUGGAAUGCACAGAUAUCAGGAAGAACACCGAUGGCGAAGGCAGGUCUCUGGGUAGUAACUGACGCUGAGGAGCGAAAGCAUGGGUAGCGAACAGG